Long non-coding RNA from Quercus robur (English oak), 1535 nucleotides. RefSeq lists it as uncharacterized. The record is from RefSeq and is a predicted model, not a curated record. Lineage: Eukaryota; Viridiplantae; Streptophyta; Magnoliopsida; Fagales; Fagaceae. The transcript has 3 exons.
CUCUGUCUCCACUCUCCACCGUAACAACACUUCCACUUUCUGCACUCAUUCCGUUUCUGCAACGGACUCUUUUUUUUACAGACUUACAAUCUCUCUGAAACCCUAAUAUUCAUCCAAUCCAUGGCUUCUAGAUGGAAUGGGACUCCUGUUUCGUUUUUCAUUUACUCUUCUCCUUCUCCUCAACCUCGAGAGGAAGAAGAACAAGAACAAAUUGAAAUUGAGAGUCCGAAGAGUGUUAUUCCCGAUUUGUUUUUCUCAUCUCGAGAACAGCAACAACAAAUUGGGAGUCCAUUUACUCCUGUCAAUGCCCCUAAAAUCAUGAAUCCUCAUUUGUCGAUCUCUGCUGAUCGGUUCCAGUUUCGGGUGCCUUCGACAACUGAUGAUGAUGUAGUGCUUCAGAAUCUUCUCCAUAUCAUUCACUACAUUAUCAAUAAGAGGAAAUCAUCAUCAUCAUCAUCAUCCCUCACACCUGCUCAGAAACUCUUCAACUCGCUCGAUCUUGUUCAGAAAAAGGUCACGCAGCAAUUGGAGAGAAUUAAGGAAACCCCCACUUUUCAGAUGGGGGUUAGAGAUGAGAAAAUUCGAACUUUGAUGUCUAUGCGCUGAUAGAUUUCUUAUUCUUAUUACCCACACACCCACACGCACUACAUAGUCUAGAUUAAGAAUGGUAGUUUGACAUUACAUUCAAUUGUGCAAUACUUGGUUUGGUUUUUUAUUUUCAAAAAGUUAUUAUAUUUUAGAAAUUAAUUUUGUGUGUUUAGGCAUGCUGAUAUUUUGACAUUAUUUUGUAGGUUCAGAAAAAGUGCUUGUGACCUACGAAUCUUAAUAACUUCUUAUUUUUAGCAACAUGUGUUUUUGUAUGUUACCUUGAUGCACUCACAUGUACAAGUUGCGUUGAUAUUUCAACAUUUAUAUCAAGUAUGGGAUUUAAAAGUUAUGAACUUGUGUUGUUUGGGUGUUUGUGUAUUAGGAUGAAUUGUGGGGCCCAAAGUGAAGGGAAUGCAUCAAAGUUUGUCUCCCCAAUCUGCCAUGAAUUCAACUCAUUUUUAUGCUCUGUAUUGACUACCUAAUGGUAUGUGCAUCACUGAGGUGAGAGGCAGGGGGUUGGGGGAAUAUUUUUUGAUGAUCCAAACCACUAUGAUGAAGAUGAUCUAAACCACUGAAUGUGCCAAUUCUGUGGUUCCUGCUUGCAUUCCAAUCAUAGAAAUAAGGAAGGAUAUGCCAUUCACAGACCAGCAUGAGGCAUGGCAGGAAUUGCAAAGAGGGCGUUAUGUUAAUUUCAAUCCAAAAGAAUGGAUCUAAAAUUAUUAGAAAAAGAAUGUUUUUGUAUCAUCCCCCCUUUCUAGUUCCCUCUUUCUCCUGUUUCUCAAUGAGCGUUUUUUAUUGGAUGGUUAUAAGUUAGUGUGGGUGUCUAGGACUUAUGUAAUCCUCCAUAAGUAAAAGGAGACGAGGGUGUUAAUUUUAAAAUUAUGAGCGCAAUAUCUGUUGUAAGGACUGAGAAAAAUCUUCUAAUGAAAAAAUACAUUGUUGAGUAA